This is a long non-coding RNA of Neopsephotus bourkii (Bourke's parrot), 209 nucleotides long. RefSeq lists it as uncharacterized. The record is from RefSeq and is a predicted model, not a curated record. Lineage: Eukaryota; Metazoa; Chordata; Aves; Psittaciformes; Psittacidae. The transcript has 2 exons.
GGAAUGGAGCUUUAAAUCAGGAACUACCUGCGAUAACUGACAGCCUUCACUCAAACAGGGAUUCAGGACAUACAGGCAAGCACUGGAGAAAAGGAGAGGGAAUUACAGGAAAUGGAUGUGUGCAAACUCGCCCUAAUUUAUGUAAAUACGGAGGCGGAAGACUUUCACUUCAUUGUUACAAAUUAAAAGUUCCCUGACAUUUCCAAUUA